AGUGAACGCUGGCGGUAGGCCUAACACAUGCCAGUCGAACGGCAGCACAGUAAGAGCUUGCUCUUACGGGUGGCGAGUGGCGGACGGGUGAGGAAUAAAUCGGAAUCUACUUUUUCGUGGGGGAUAACGUAGGGAAACUUACGCUAAUACCGCAUACGACCUACGGGUGAAAGCAGGGGAUCUUUGGAUCUUGCGCGAUUGAAUGAGCUGAUGGCGGAUUAGUUAGUUGGCGGGGUAAAGGCCCGCCAAGGCGACGAUCCGUAGCUGGUCUGGGAGGAUGAUGAGCCACACUGGAACUGGGACACGGUCCAGACUCCUACGGGAGGCAGCAGUGGGGAAUGUUGGACGAUGGGCGCAAGCCUGAUCCAGCCAUACCGCGUGGGUGAAGAAGGUCUUCGGGUUGUAAAGCCCUUUUGUUGGGAAAGAAAAGCAGCAGGUGAAUACCCCGCUGUUCUGACGGUACCCAAAGAAUAAGCACCGGCUAACUUCGUG
This 492-nucleotide ribosomal RNA is filed under the name uncultured bacterium. Its description in RNAcentral is "partial 16S ribosomal RNA". It matches the Rfam family "Bacterial small subunit ribosomal RNA", at positions 29 to 507 of the family's 1533-position model. The record is from RNAcentral.